GACGAACGCUGGCGGCGUGCUUAACACAUGCAAGUCGAGCGGUAAGGCCCUUUCGGGGUACGACGAGCGGCGAACGGGUAGGAGUAACACGUGGGUGGACCUCGCCCUCCAGCUCUGGGAGUAAGACCUCGGGAAACCGGGGUACGUAAUAACUGGGUAGUGACUCCAUGACGCAUGUUGUGGGGUGGAAAGCCUUGUGCGGCUGAGGAUGGGCCCGGCGGCCUAUCAGCUUGUUGGUGGGGUGAUGGCCUACCAAGGCGACGACGGGUAGCCGGCCUGAGAGGGCGACCGGCCACACUGGGACUGAGACACGGCCCAGACUCCUACGGGAGGCAGCAGUGGGGAAUCUUGCGCAAUGGGGCGAAAGCCUGACGCAGCGACGCCGCGUGAGGGAUGACGGCCU
RNAcentral lists this ribosomal RNA (403 nucleotides) under uncultured bacterium. Its description in RNAcentral is "bacterial SSU rRNA". It matches the Rfam family "Bacterial small subunit ribosomal RNA", at positions 28 to 417 of the family's 1533-position model. The record is from RNAcentral.